RNAcentral lists this vault RNA (111 nucleotides) under Echinops telfairi (small Madagascar hedgehog). Its description in RNAcentral is "Vault RNA (ENSETEG00000026408.1)". It matches the Rfam family "Vault RNA". Rfam says of the family: This family of RNAs are found as part of the enigmatic vault ribonucleoprotein complex. The complex consists of a major vault protein (MVP), two minor vault proteins (VPARP and TEP1), and several small untranslated RNA molecules. Lineage: Eukaryota; Metazoa; Chordata; Mammalia; Afrosoricida; Tenrecidae. The record is from RNAcentral.
GGGUCAGCUUUAGCUCUAGCAGUUACUUGGUAAUGUUGAACAACUCAUCUUAGGAUGAAAGUCAACAACCCUCCUGGGGUUCGAGUCCCAUGGGUGCUUUCUGACCCUUUU